RNAcentral lists this ribosomal RNA (2896 nucleotides) under Cyclotella sp. L04_2. RNAcentral's name for it is "LSU rRNA". It matches the Rfam family "Bacterial large subunit ribosomal RNA". The record is from RNAcentral. Lineage: Eukaryota; Bacillariophyta; Thalassiosirophyceae; Thalassiosirales; Thalassiosiraceae.
AAAUUCAAGGAACUAAGAGUUUAUGGGGGAUACCUUGGCAUUCAGAAGCGAUGAAGGACGUGGUUACCUACGAUAUGCUUCGGGGAGCUGGAAACAAGCUAUGAUCCGGAGAUCUCCGAAUGAGGCAACUUUUAUACUACUUAUUGAAUUCAUAGAUAAGACAGAGCAAACCUAGAGAAUUGAAACAUCUUAGUACCUAGAGGAAAAGAAAGUAAAAACGAUUCCCUUAGUAGCGGCGAGCGAAACGGGAUUAGCCUAAACUUAAUUAUUAAUUAAGGGUAGUGGGACAAUAAAAAAAAUUAAUGGAACGGUUAGAAGAAUAAGUUUGGAAUACUUAACCAUAGAAAGUGAAAGUCUUGUACUCGAAAACUGAACCAAUUUAAUUGUAUCCCAAGUAGCAUGGAGCACGUGAAAUUCCGUGUGAAUCUGCGAGGACCACCUCGUAAGGCUAAAUAUUCCUGAAUGACCGAUAGUGAAACAGUACCGUGAGGGAAAGGUGAAAAGAACCCCGGGAGGGGAGUGAAAAGAACAUGAAACCAUAAACUUACAAGCAGUAGGAGGACGACUAAAGCGUCUGACUUCGUGCCUGUUGAAGAAUGAGCCGGCGACUUAUAGUUAGUGGCAGGUUAAGGUAGUGAAUACUGAAGCCAUAGUGAAAGCGAGCCUGAAUAGGGCGUUUGUCACUAGUUAUAGACCCGAACCCGGAUGAUCUAACCAUGAUCAGGUUGAAGCUUAGGUAAUACUAAGUGAAGGACCGAACCGACUGAUGUUGAAAAAUCAGCGGAUGAAUUGUGGUUAGGGGUGAAAUGCCAAUCGAAUUCGGAGCUAGCUGGUUCUCCCCGAAAUGCGUUUAGGCGCAGCGGUAAAUGUUAUAAUUUAGAGGUAAAGCACUGUUACGUAUGCGGGCUGGUAAUUCGGUACCAAAUCGUUGCAAACUAAGAAUGCUAAAUGUAGAGUUUACCAGUAAGACUGUGGGGGAUAAGCUCCAUUGUCAAGAGGGAAACAGCCCAGAGCACCAGUUAAGGCCCUUAAAAAUUACUAAGUGGUAAAGGAGGUGGGAGUGCAUAAACAAUCAGGAGGUUUGCUUAGAAGCAGCAAUCCUUUAAAGAGUGCGUAAUAGCUCACUGAUCGAGUAAACCUGCGCCGAAAAUGUAUGGGACUAAGUAAUUUGCCGAAACUGUGCGAUAUAUAAACAAAUUAAUAUAUCGGUAGGGGAGCGUUCUGUUGUAGAUUGAAGUACUAGCGUAAGCGGGUAUGGACGAAGCAGAAGUGAGAAUGUCGGCUUGAGUAACGAAAAUAUAGGUGAGAAUCCUAUACCCCGAAAACCCAAGGUUUCCUCCGGAAGGUUCGUCCGCGGAGGGUAAGUCAGGACCUAAGGCGAGGCUGAAAAGCGUAGUCGAUGGACAACGGGUUAAUAUUCCCGUACCAUUUUUAUUAAUAUCCUACAUCGAGGGACGGAGAAGGCUAAGCUAGCCGGAUAUUGGUUUUACCGGUUUAAACGUUCAAGAUGUUGAGAAGCGGUGAAAACGCUUUGAGUUGAGACGUGAAUACGAAACACUAAGGUGUUGAAGUAGUGUAUGUCAUACUUCCAAGAAAAGCUCGUAAUGUAGUUAAGUAAAAAUGCCUGUACCAUAACCGACACAGGUGGGUAGGUAGAGUAUACUAAGGGGCGCGAGAUAACUCUCUCUAAGGAACUCGGCAAAAUGACUCCGUAACUUCGGGAGAAGGAGUGCCUUAUUCUAUAAGGUUGCAAUAACAAGAUCCAAGCAACUGUUUAUCAAAAACACAGGUCUCCGCUAAGUCGUAAGACGAUGUAUGGGGGCUGACGCCUGCCCAGUGCCAGAAGGUUAAAGAAGUCGGUUAGCAAUAGCGAAGCUGGUAACUGAAGCCCUGGUGAACGGCGGCCGUAACUAUAACGGUCCUAAGGUAGCGAAAUUCCUUGUCGGGUAAGUUCCGACCCGCACGAAAGGCGUAAUGAUUUGGAUACUGUCUCGGAGAGGGACUCGGUGAAAUAGACUUGUCUGUGAAGAUGCGGACUACCUGCACCAGGACAGAAAGACCCUAUGAAGCUUUACUGUAACUUGAAAUUGAAAUUGGACUUUAUUCGCGCAGUAUAGGUGGGAGGCGUUGAUUAUAAUCUUGUGGGAUUAUUGGAGCCAUCAGUGAGAUACCACUCUUGUAAUGUUAGAUUUCUAACUUUGAAUCAUGAUCUGGUCAAAGAACAGUUUCAGGCGGGCAGUUUGACUGGGGCGGUCGCCUCCUAAACGGUAACGGAGGCGUACAAAGGUUUCCUCUGAACGGGUAGAAAUCGUAUCUAGAGUGUAAAGGCAUAAGGAAGCUUGACUGUGAGACCUACAAGUCGAGCAGGGACGAAAGUCGGUCUUAGUGAUCUGACGGUACUGAGUGGAAAGGCCGUCACUCAACGGAUAAAAGUUACUCUAGGGAUAACAGGCUGAUCUCCCCCAAGAGUUCACAUCGACGGGGAGGUUUGGCACCUCGAUGUCGGCUCAUCGCAUCCUGGGGCGGUAGUACGUCCCAAGGGUUGGGCUGUUCGCCCAUGAAAGCGGUACGCGAGCUGGGUUCAGAACGUCGUGAGACAGUUCGGUCCAUAUCCGGUGUAGGCGUUAGAAUAUUGAGAGGAGCCUUCUUUAGUACGAGAGGACCGAGAAGGACAUACCUCUGGUGUACCAGUUAUCGUGCCAACGGUAAACGCUGGGUAGCUAUGUAUGGAGUGGAUAACCGCUGAAAGCAUCUAAGUGGGAAGCCCACCUCAAGAUAAGUAUUCUCAUCACGUAAGUGAGUAAGAUCACGGUAAGACUAACCGUUUGAUAGGCAUUAAGUGUAAGUACAGUAAUGUAUGUGCUAAGAUGUCCUAAUAGAUCGAGGACUUGAAUUU